GAGGGUAUAGCUCAGUGGUAGAGUGUGUGUUUAGCAUGUACGAGGUCCUGGGUUCCGUUCCCAGUACCUUCA
Molecule: transfer RNA, 72 nt
Filed under: Camelus bactrianus (Bactrian camel)
Lineage: Eukaryota; Metazoa; Chordata; Mammalia; Artiodactyla; Camelidae
Also listed under: 1 other name
Rfam family: tRNA
About the family: Transfer RNA (tRNA) molecules are approximately 80 nucleotides in length. Their secondary structure includes four short double-helical elements and three loops (D, anti-codon, and T loops).
Source: Rfam by way of RNAcentral